AGAGUUUGAUCCUGGCUCAGAUUGAACGCUGGCGGCAUGCUUUACACAUGCAAGUCGAACGGCAGCACGGGGGCAACCCUGGUGGCGAGUGGCGAACGGGUGAGUAAUACAUCGGAACGUGCCCGGUAGUGGGGGAUAGCCCGGCGAAAGCCGGAUUAAUACCGCAUACGACCUACGGGUGAAAGCGGGGGACCGCAAGGCCUCGCGCUAUCGGAGCGGCCGAUGUCGGAUUAGCUAGUUGGUAAGGUAACGGCUUACUAAGGCCACGAUGGAUAGCUGAUCUGAGAGGGUGAUCAGCCACACUGGGACUGAGAUACGGCCCAGACUCCUACGGGAGGCAGCAGUGAGGAAUAUUGCGCAAUGGAGGAAACUCUGACGCAGCAACGCCGCGUGGGGGAUGAAGCACUAUGGUGUGUAAACCCCUGUAGACAGGGACGAACGAUAUGUAUUCGUAAGGGUAUGUAUGUGACGGUACCUGUAAAGUAAGCACCGGCUAACUCCGUGCCAGCAGCCGCGGUAAUACGGGGGGUGCAAGCGUUGUCCGGAAUUACUGGGCGUAAAGGGCGUGUAGGCGGCUUAUUAAGUCAGAUGUGAAAGCCCACGGCUUAACCGUGGAACUGCAUUUGAAACUGAUAGGCUUGAGUAUGAGAAGGGGUAGUGGAAUUCCCAGUGUAGCGGUGAAAUGCGUAGAUAUUGGGAAGAACACCAGUAGCGAAGGCGACUACCUGGCUCAUUACUGACGCUAAUGCGCGAAAGCGCGGGGAGCAAACAGGAUUAGAUACCCUGGUAGUCCGCGCCGUAAACGAUGGAUACUAGAUGUUGGUUACUUUUUAGUGAUCAGUGUCGCAGCUAACGCAUUAAGUAUCCCGCCUGGGGAGUACGAUCGCAAGGUUGAAACUCAAAGGAAUUGACGG
RNAcentral lists this ribosomal RNA (914 nucleotides) under uncultured bacterium. RNAcentral's name for it is "bacterial SSU rRNA". It matches the Rfam family "Bacterial small subunit ribosomal RNA", at positions 8 to 916 of the family's 1533-position model. The record is from RNAcentral.